CCUACGGGUGGCUGCAGUGGGGAAUUUUGGACAAUGGGGGCAACCCUGAUCCAGCCAUGCCGCGUGAGUGAAGAAGGCCUUCGGGUUGUAAAGCUCUUUCGGCCGGGAAGAAAUCGGCGACUCUAACAUAGUCGCUGGAUGACGGUACCGGACUAAGAAGCACCGGCUAACUACGUGCCAGCAGCCGCGGUAAUACGUAGGGUGCGAGCGUUAAUCGGAAUUACUGGGCGUAAAGCGUGCGCAGGCGGUUUUGUAAGACAGAUGUGAAAUCCCCGGGCUUAACCUGGGAACUGCGUUUGUGACUGCAAGGCUAGAGUACGGCAGAGGGGGGUGGAAUUCCUGGUGUAGCAGUGAAAUGCGUAGAUAUCAGGAGGAACACCGAUGGCGAAGGCAGCCCCCUGGGCCUGUACUGACGCUCAUGCACGAAAGCGUGGGGAGCAAACAGGAUUAGAUACCCGUGUAGUC
This 465-nucleotide ribosomal RNA is filed under the name uncultured Thauera sp. RNAcentral's name for it is "bacterial SSU rRNA". It matches the Rfam family "Bacterial small subunit ribosomal RNA", at positions 338 to 795 of the family's 1533-position model. The record is from RNAcentral. Lineage: Bacteria; Pseudomonadati; Pseudomonadota; Betaproteobacteria; Rhodocyclales; Zoogloeaceae.